GCAAGUCCAACUUAUGAAUAGUUUCAUAAAUUCAUUUCUUGAGUUUGAGUAAGUAGAAGCAACAUAGAGCUAAGCUAGGGUUUGGAUCAAGAGUGAAAGCUUGAGCAAGAGAAGGCUUGGAUCAUCAUCUUUGCUUAAGGUAAGAGAUUAGAAUUCAUGAUUCUUGAGUGACAAGGAGGGGGGAGAUUGUCUAUGUCUCCGUUCCCGAACUCUCCCACUCAAUUUCUUUUAGACUUUUGAUAAGCUUU
This 248-nucleotide long non-coding RNA is filed under the name Trifolium pratense (red clover). Its description in RNAcentral is "long non-coding RNA (TPRA_LNC007370)". Lineage: Eukaryota; Viridiplantae; Streptophyta; Magnoliopsida; Fabales; Fabaceae. The record is from RNAcentral.